This 435-nucleotide ribosomal RNA is filed under the name uncultured bacterium. RNAcentral describes it as "partial 16S ribosomal RNA". It matches the Rfam family "Bacterial small subunit ribosomal RNA", at positions 29 to 507 of the family's 1533-position model. The record is from RNAcentral.
AGCGAACGCUGGCGGCAGGCUUAACACAUGCAAGUCGAACGGGCAUAGCAAUAUGUCAGUGGCAGACGGGUGAGUAACGCGUGGGAACGUACCUUUUGGUUCGGAACAACACAGGGAAACUUGUGCUAAUACCGGAUAAGCCCUUACGGGGAAAGAUUUAUCGCCGAAAGAUCGGCCCGCGUCUGAUUAGCUAGUUGGUAGGGUAAUGGCCUACCAAGGCGACGAUCAGUAGAUGGUCUGAGAGGAUGAUCAGACACAUUGGGACUGAGACACGGCACAAACUCCUACGGGAGGCAGCAGUGGGUAAUAUUGGAAAAUGGGCGAAAGCCUGAUCCAGCCAUGCCGCGUGAGUGAUGAAGGCCCUAGGGUUGUAAAGCUCUUUUGUGCGGGAAGAUAAUGACGGUACCGAAAGAAUAAGCCCCGGCUAACUUCGUG